UGGAAUUGUUAUAUUCCAUACUUCUGUGUAAUGCGAUGAGAGGACGGAGAAGGUUAAGUCAGCCUGGCGUUGGUUGUCCAGGUGGAAGGUUGUAGGCAUGUAUCUUAGGCAAAUCCGGGGUACUCUAUGCUGAGAACUGAUAGCAAGCUGUACUUGUACAGUGAAGUGGCUGACACCAUGCUUCCAGGAAAAGUACUCUAAGCUUCAGUUACACAGGAAUCGUACCCGAAACCGACACAGUGGUCAGGUCGAGUAGACCAAAGCGCUUGAGAGAACUCUGCUGAAGGAACUAGGCAAAAUGGUACCGUAACUUCGGGAGAAGGUACGCUGCUGACGGUGAUGGGACUUGCUCCCUGAGCUAUUGGCAGCCACAGAAAACCAGGCCGCUGCAACUGUUUAUUAAAAACAUAGCACUCUGCAAACACGAAAGUGGACGUAUAGGGUGUGAUGCCUGCCCGGUGCUGGAAGGUUAA
This 473-nucleotide ribosomal RNA is filed under the name uncultured bacterium. RNAcentral's name for it is "bacterial LSU rRNA". It matches the Rfam family "Bacterial large subunit ribosomal RNA", at positions 1426 to 1880 of the family's 2925-position model. The record is from RNAcentral.